UACGUAGGGUGCUAGCGUUGUUCGGAAUUACUGGGCGUAAAGCGCGCGUAGGCGGCUAUUCAAGUCAGGGGUGAAAUCCUUGGGCUCAACCCAAGAAUUGCCUUUGAAACUGUAUAGCUUGAGUGUCGGAGGGGAUAGCGGAAUUCCUAAUGUAGAGGUGAAAUUCGUAGAUAUUAGGAGGAACACCGGUGGCGAAGGCGGCUAUCUGGACGACAACUGACGCUGAGGCGCGAAAGCGCGGGGAGCAAACAGG
This 253-nucleotide ribosomal RNA is filed under the name uncultured bacterium. RNAcentral's name for it is "partial 16S ribosomal RNA". It matches the Rfam family "Bacterial small subunit ribosomal RNA", at positions 524 to 776 of the family's 1533-position model. The record is from RNAcentral.